Neogale vison (American mink) is the source of this 175-nucleotide long non-coding RNA. RefSeq lists it as uncharacterized. The record is from RefSeq and is a predicted model, not a curated record. The transcript has 3 exons. NCBI's taxonomy places the organism in Eukaryota, Metazoa, Chordata, Mammalia, Carnivora, Mustelidae.
CCAACACACACAUCGAAAGCCUCCUUUUAAACUGUGCCUGGGGAGCCCACCUAAAGACAGAUCUGUUUCACCAGAUCGCUAAAGUGAUCUCUAAGGACUGUUUUUGCUCCAAGAGUAGGUGACUUCAGGAGCAGGCAUGUAUUGACAGCGGUGAUGCUUCUGGCUCUUUGUGAGU